This 500-nucleotide ribosomal RNA is filed under the name uncultured bacterium. Its description in RNAcentral is "partial 16S ribosomal RNA". It matches the Rfam family "Bacterial small subunit ribosomal RNA", at positions 30 to 523 of the family's 1533-position model. The record is from RNAcentral.
AUUGAACGCUGGCGGCAUGCCUUACACAUGCAAGUCGAACGGCAGCAUGGAAGAGCUUGCUCUUCUGAUGGCGAGUGGCGAACGGGUGAGUAAUGCAUCGGAACGUACCGUGUAAUGGGGGAUUACGUAGCGAAAGUUACGCUAAUACCGCAUACGACCUGAGGGUGAAAGCAGGGGAUCGCAAGACCUUGCGUUAUACGAGCGGCCGAUGUCAGAUUAGCUAGUGGGUGAUGGCCUACCAAGGCGACGACGGGUAGCCGGCCUGAGAGGGUGACCGGCCACACUGGGACUGAGACACGGCCCAGACUCCUACGGGAGGCAGCAGUGGGGAAUUUUGGACAAUGGGGGCAACCCUGAUCCAGCAAUGCCGCGUGAGUGAAGAAGGCCUUCGGGUUGUAAAGCUCUUUUGUCAGGGGAGAAACACCGGCUCUAACACAGUCCGGGAAUGACGGUACCUGAAGAAUAAGCACCGGCUAACUACGUGCCAGCCGCCGCAGUAA